This 312-nucleotide ribosomal RNA is filed under the name Ligula sp. Lu-HL-2002. Its description in RNAcentral is "eukaryotic LSU rRNA". It matches the Rfam family "Eukaryotic large subunit ribosomal RNA", at positions 11 to 293 of the family's 3401-position model. The record is from RNAcentral. Lineage: Eukaryota; Metazoa; Platyhelminthes; Cestoda; Diphyllobothriidea; Diphyllobothriidae.
UCAGUCGUGGCGACCCGCUGAACUUAAGCAUAUCACUAAGCGGAGGAAAAGAAACUAACCAGGAUUCCCUAGUAACGGCGAGUGAAGAGGGAAUAGCCCAGCACCGAAGCCUGCGGUAGUUUUACUGCUAGGCAAUGUGGUGUUUGGGUCGGCUCGCGGGAUUGCCACUCCACUCGAAGUCCAGCACUGAGUAUGGUUCCCUGGAUUUGGCCCAGAGAGGGUGAAAGGCCCGUGCGAGUGGAGGUUCAGACAUGUGAGGCAAUUCACCAGGCCGACCUUCGAGUCGGGUUGUUUGGGAAUGCAGCCCAAAGC